AGGAGCUCAAAGCAAUUUUCCAACUCGAUCAUCUCAACAUUUGUCCUGCUAACUAACUUGAGCCACCCUUCCGCACAAGAAGGCGAUGAUGUAGAUUAACUGCCCGAGGCUUUCUGAGUGCUGCAGGAAGAGCUUCCAAGGGGCUGUUUCCAUGCUAUCAGGUCACUGAGAAAGCAAAUCGAACAAGAACCAUAAAGUAGGAAUAGACAUUUGAAGAGCAAAAUGGAUGUAGCUGUGGAAAUGGAAGGAGAGGGGCCAUGAUUCCUUCUUAUCACUUGGUCCGUAGAAGAGGAGGAGACCAGAGGAAACUUUCUUUACCUCGAAUUCCACAAAGGAACACAUCAUCACUGACCGUGCGGCCUGAAGCGGAGCUGCAUCUGAUGGAAGAAACUCUUCUACAGUUCUUUUGUGUACCGGGGAAAGCCUUACUUCCUAAUUGAGAUAUUCAGACUUCCCAGAAGUUUUUUUUGAAAAUGGAACUUGUUCUUGAUUUAUAGGUGGCACGGUAGUCAGCGCUCAUAACCGCUUUCAUUUUAGACAGGGUAAGUUUUCUUCUCCAGACACCUCAAAGGAACAUAUCAAAUCUCCUGAAUGAGAAGUCAACCCUCUUUGCUGGGUUUCCAAGAGGUGCAUACGGUAACUAAGGAUUUGAGAGAAAAGAUGCUGCAUCAUUCAAUUAAUUUCAGUUUUGCCAUGCAGAGGCCGAGGGUAGCUCUGAUCAAUACGGACUAGUCGGCUUGCUAACAUAAAGCACAUUUCAUACAAAGCCAAACAUUUUUCUCCUUGUUGUACAGAAUUAUCUUAAUUAUUGUUUCAAGGAACAGCCUUAUAUAGAAUAAUCUGGUAGUCCAAAAUGCUGCUCAGAAACUCAUCACUGGAAUAAUUUAUGAUUUUUCUUUCUAACAUCUUGGGCUUGUUUGAUAUGCUUGCCAUUUCUCGCUGACAGGGAGGUCGAUUAAAUCACAUUUAUAUUGUAAA
Long non-coding RNA from Ornithorhynchus anatinus (platypus), 978 nucleotides. RefSeq lists it as uncharacterized. Lineage: Eukaryota; Metazoa; Chordata; Mammalia; Monotremata; Ornithorhynchidae. The record is from RefSeq and is a predicted model, not a curated record. The transcript is spliced from 2 exons.